Molecule: ribosomal RNA, 440 nt
Filed under: uncultured bacterium
Lineage: Bacteria
Description: partial 16S ribosomal RNA
Rfam family: Bacterial small subunit ribosomal RNA
Source: RNAcentral
CCUACGGGUGGCAGCAGUGGGGAAUAUUGCACAAUGGGGGAAACCCUGAUGCAGCAACGCCGCGUGAGUGAAGAAGUAUUUCGGUAUGUAAAGCUCUAUCAGCAGGGAAGAGAAUGACGGUACCUGACUAAGAAGCCCCGGCUAACUACUUGCCAGCAGCCGCGGUAAUACGUAGGGGGCACGCGUUAUCCGGAUUUACUGGGUGGAAAGGGAGCGUAGACGGCUGGACAAGUCUGAAGUGAAAGCCCGUGGCUCAACCGCGGAACUGCUUUGGAAACUGUAAAGCUGGAGUACGGGAGAGGCAGGCGGAAUUCCUAGUGUAGCGGUGAAAUGCGUAGAUAUUAGGAGGAACACCAGUGGCGAAGGCGGCCUGCUGGACAGAAACUGACGCUGAGGAGCGAAAGCGUGGGUAGCAAACAGGAUUAGAUACCUGGGUAGUC